GGAGAAGGAGUUCCUUCACUCCUUCUUCUUCUUCUCCACUUUUUUCUUCUUCUUUUUCUUUCUUUCCUUGUCUUCUUCUAGAGAGAGAAAGAGAGAUGAGAGUGUGAGAGGGUGAGGAAUGAGAGAAAUUUCUCAUUUACUCCCAUACAUAACUCAAUGGGUUGCAAAAUUGCAGUUAAACCCCUCAACUUUCACUUUAAUACACUGCCUGGACUGGGCAGAUUUCACGCUUGGGGACCGGUCUCCCCGACUUGGGACCG
Molecule: long non-coding RNA, 260 nt
Filed under: Ananas comosus (pineapple)
Lineage: Eukaryota; Viridiplantae; Streptophyta; Magnoliopsida; Poales; Bromeliaceae
Description: long non-coding RNA (ACOM_LNC013668)
Source: RNAcentral